RNAcentral lists this ribosomal RNA (501 nucleotides) under uncultured bacterium. RNAcentral describes it as "partial 16S ribosomal RNA". It matches the Rfam family "Bacterial small subunit ribosomal RNA", at positions 29 to 523 of the family's 1533-position model. The record is from RNAcentral.
AUUGAACGCUGGCGGCAUGCCUUACACAUGCAAGUCGAACGGCAGCACGGGUGCUUGCACCUGGUGGCGAGUGGCGAACGGGUGAGUAAUACAUCGGAACGUACCUUAUCGUGGGGGAUAACGCAGCGAAAGCUGUGCUAAUACCGCAUACGCCCUGAGGGGGAAAGCGGGGGAUCGCAAGACCUCGCGCGAUUAGAGCGGCCGAUGCCUGAUUAGCUAGUUGGUGGGGUAAAAGCCCACCAAGGCGACGAUCAGUAGCUGGUCUGAGAGGACGAUCAGCCACACUGGGGCUGAGACACGGCCAAGACUCCUACGGGAGGCAGCAGUGGGGAAUUUUGGACAAUGGGGGCAACCCUGAUCCAGCAAUGCCGCGUGAGUGAAGAAGGCCUUCGGGUUGUAAAGCUCUUUUGUCAGGGAAGAAACACCGGCUCUAACACAGUCCGGGAAUGACGGUACCUGAAGAAUAAGCACCGGCUAACUACGUGCCAGCAGCCGCCGUAA